Molecule: long non-coding RNA, 1106 nt
Organism: Cyprinus carpio carpio
Lineage: Eukaryota; Metazoa; Chordata; Actinopteri; Cypriniformes; Cyprinidae
Source: Ensembl
UACUAGUUUCGUAAUCGACCAGGUCAGAAUUUUGAUUAUAAAGGGAAUAAAUCGCCAUUUUUACAAUAUUUGUGUUGUUGUGACUGUUAUUAUUAAUUUAAUAGUUAGUAGUUCAUGUUAGGGCGGUGCAAUUAAUCGCAUGCGAUUGUCAUGCUUAAUCUCGUCAGUAAAGCGGUGACGUGAUCAGUAAUUAAAUCUCCAUCAGCUGUUUCAGAUCGAGCGCCAUUCUUUACACAGAUCCGUAGUUCAUUGACAAGCUCGACAUAUCGCGUUCGAAAUCGAAUUAAUUAUAUCGUAUAGCACGUGAAAUGCGUCGGCAGGACAACGUGGCAUUUGCAGUGCAUGGUGAAGACACGUGAUGAAUGUUAUUAAGCGUUUGUAGUAAGGCCGCCUCCGCCUAUUUCUGUCUUUAGAAACGCUCCUCGGAAACCUAUGGAUGACGUCACGAACACUAAGUCCAUUUUUUUAUACGGUCUAUGGUUGUAAGCCAGUGAGAUAACAUAUAACAGAUAACAUCAUUAGAUAACAUAAUUCAGUGGAUAAAGAAUCAAUUAGAUGUCGUCUAAAGAAACAAAGUAAACGCCAGCUGGAGGUGACCAUUUCAUUAUUGUCAGUGCUGGAAAAAGCUUGAAAUGUAGUGAGAAGUCUUUGUGUUUUCUUUUAAUGUGAUUAUUAUUUUUUUUUAACAGUUUUGUGUUGCAGAAGACUUGCAGAAACGAGAUUUGAGAUGCCUCGGACGAAGCAGUCUCAGCGUUCUCAGGCAGCCAAGAAGAGAAUCGUGAACCGGCUAGCUGCUAAUCCUGAAGAGAUCUUGUCACCUGUUAAAAAAAGAAAAGAAAUACAAGAGCCUGAUCCUACUUUUGCCAAUUGUUCCGAAUUUGCCAAUUGUUCCGAAUUUUCCGAUUGUUCCGAAUUUGCCGAUUGUUCCGAAUUUGCCAAAUAUUCCGAAUCUUACCCAAACUCUGACCCAAAGUCUGAUUCAGACGCUAAUUCAAAGUCUAUGCCAAAGUUUCCAAAAGAUGCUGAGAUGACUAUGCAUGCUGUUUCUUCUUUGUCUCCACAGACUUCCUAUAUCAGAGGCUCUUUCCAUCAAGGAGAUUACCGUU